UACGUAGGGUCCGAGCGUUGUCCGGAAUUACUGGGCGUAAAGAGCUCGUAGGUGGUUUGUCGCGUUGUUCGUGAAAACUCACAGCUUAACUGUGGGCGUGCGGGCGAUACGGGCAGACUUGAGUACUACAGGGGAGACUGGAAUUCCUGGUGUAGCGGUGAAAUGCGCAGAUAUCAGGAGGAACACCGGUGGCGAAGGCGGGUCUCUGGGUAGUAACUGACGCUGAGGAACGAAAGCGUGGGUAGCGAACAGG
This 253-nucleotide ribosomal RNA is filed under the name uncultured bacterium. Its description in RNAcentral is "partial 16S ribosomal RNA". It matches the Rfam family "Bacterial small subunit ribosomal RNA", at positions 524 to 776 of the family's 1533-position model. The record is from RNAcentral.